UGAUGCUGAUGGAAAUUUAAAAAAAAACUUUUUUAAAAAUAAAAAUUGAAUUUUUUUUAAUUUGUGCAAAAACAAUUAUAUUUAUUAAAGACAAGAAGACCCUAAGAAUUUAAGAUUUUACAAUUAAAAAGUUUUUUUUUAAAAUCUUGAUUGGGGCGAUCAAAAAAUAUUAAUAACUUUUUAAAAUUUAAAUUGAUCUAUUAUUAAUAAACUAAUGAAUUAAAUACUCUAGGGAUAACAGCGUAAUAAUUUUUGAUAGAUCUUAUUGACAAAAUAGUUUGCGACCUCGAUGUUGGAUUAGGAUUCUUUUUUAAUGAAGAAGUUAAAAAAAGAAGUUUGUUCAACUUUUAAAUUCCUACUUGAUCUGAGUUCAGACCGGAUGCAGGGCCUGGGCACAGCCCUUGCCCACAUCACCAUAGACCGCUACCACGGCUACCUUGCUGGCAAUCAUCACACCUAUGGCCUACUUGAUCUGAGUUCAGACCGG
RNAcentral lists this ribosomal RNA (487 nucleotides) under Hyalomma turanicum. RNAcentral's name for it is "partial 16S ribosomal RNA". Lineage: Eukaryota; Metazoa; Arthropoda; Arachnida; Ixodida; Ixodidae. The record is from RNAcentral.